GAUGAACGCUGGCGGCGUGCUUAACACAUGCAAGUCGAACGGAAAGGCCCAAGCUUGCUUGGGUACUCGAGUGGCGAACGGGUGAGUAACACGUGGGUGAUCUGCCCUGCACUUCGGGAUAAGCCUGGGAAACUGGGUCUAAUACCGGAUAGGACGAUGGUUUGGAUGCCAUUGUGGAAAGUUUUUUCGGUGUGGGAUGAGCUCGCGGCCUAUCAGCUUGUUGGUGGGGUAAUGGCCUACCAAGGCGUCGACGGGUAGCCGGCCUGAGAGGGUGUACGGCCACAUUGGGACUGAGAUACGGCCCAGACUCCUACGGGAGGCAGCAGUGGGGAAUAUUGCGCAAUGGGCGCAAGCCUGAUGCAGCGACGCCGCGUGGGGGAUGACGGCCUUCGGGUUGUAAACUCCUUUCGCUAGGGACGAAGCGUUUUUGUGACGGUACCUGGAGAAGAAGCACCGGCUAACUACGUG
This 468-nucleotide ribosomal RNA is filed under the name uncultured bacterium. Its description in RNAcentral is "partial 16S ribosomal RNA". It matches the Rfam family "Bacterial small subunit ribosomal RNA", at positions 28 to 507 of the family's 1533-position model. The record is from RNAcentral.